This 1262-nucleotide long non-coding RNA is filed under the name Sus scrofa (pig). Its description in RNAcentral is "lncRNA (ENSSSCG00030061969.1)". The record is from RNAcentral. Lineage: Eukaryota; Metazoa; Chordata; Mammalia; Artiodactyla; Suidae.
GUGAGGAAGCCUGUCAUCUGGGUCGCUUCCAGGUCCCUGGAGAGUUUCCUCCGCUGUCGUGGUACUGGGUUGGCUCUUUGUUUCAUUGAAUCCACCAGAAGGAAAGUUCUGGAGCUGGAGGUGGGGUGAGGAGCAGGCUGCUGCCCCUGACCUUUGCUCAGGGAGGGAACGCAUGACAAUGAAUGCUGCACUUACCUAUGGCCUCAAACCUUCACUGACCCACGCAUCUCCCCCUCCUCCCUGCCACUGGAAGGAAACCAUGACAUCAGAACACAUUGGGACUGGCAGCUGCCUCCAGCACAACGACUCAGAGUCGCAUCAUUGGAUUCCUGGACCCACUUGUGCCUGCCAUCAGCUUCCUGUUCCUGAGAAAUCAGGAGAGUGUGACCUCAUGGAAACCCAGUCAUCAGCAGGAGAAGAGACCGGCAGCAUCGGACGAGGGAGGCCGUCACAGAAUCAGGACCAAAGCUCGCUGGCCUUGGCGUUGAGAAGGUUUAUUGGUGGCCUCCUGUCUAAUUGAAUAUCAAGCUCAACUCACCUAGGUUAUUAAGCCUCCUGAUGGUGGAGCCUGGACGCCAAGCUUUAGGAAGCUCCGCCCAGCAGCUCUGGAGACGCUGGUAGAGACGGUACUGGAGGAUGGGACACCAGCCCUGCAGCAUGGGGAUGAGCCUAGUGCCAGCGGCCAGAGGUGAGGGACAGAAGGGUUGAGCUGAGUCACAAAGAGGAAGCAGAUGUGGGGGGAUGGGCACAGCAUGUUCUCGAGUUUAGCCAGAACUCUCUGGUGGUGGCAAGUGACAGAAACCCAGCACCAUCCAGUUUAAGGGUGAGAGAGGAUUUAUUGGACAGCACGGGAGUAGCCAUAUAUUUGGAGAAAGAGUUUCUCUCUGCACAUGUCUCCUCCCAUAGAUACACUUGUCGAGAAAGGCCCAGAGAGGGGAGAAGGAUGCCUCCUUGCACUUUGCACAAGGCCUCUCACGCUUUCUCUCUAGUCCUCGCCUUGGCCGGAAGCCCCACCUGCACAGCUUCUCCUCCAGCUCCAACUUUAAAAGUCUCAGCCUGAGACCCUAUUGGCUUGCAUCCCAUAAACAUCUCAGGUCAAUCCCUCUUCUAUGGGCCUCAAGGUUUUUUUUUUUUUCCUUUUGACAGUAUUUAUUUUUAUUUAAGGAAAAAUUUAUUGGAGCAUAGUUGACUAAAAAAGUUGUUUGAGUUUCAGGUGUAUAGCAAAGUAAAUCAGUUAAAUAUAUACACAUAUCUCUGUUAUA